GCAAACUUGGUCAUUUAGAGGAAGUAAAAGUCGUAACAAGGUUUCCGUAGGUGAACCUGCGGAAGGAUCAUUAUUGAAAAAAUAUUGGCGGCCAAAGUUCCUCUUUUUUUUGAAGGGGCUCUCUGGUUUGCCGCAUAUUAUUCGUGAACUUGUUUUUUUGAGACUUUGCUUGGUGGAGGUACGAAAAAACUGUGCCGUCACCGCAAGUCUAUUUUAUCAUAUUCUUUUUAUCAAGAGUCUGAAAUUUUUUACAUAACAAAAUCUAAAACUUUCAACAACGGAUCUCUUGGUUCUCGCAUCGAUGAAGAACGCAGC
RNAcentral lists this unclassified non-coding RNA (315 nucleotides) under uncultured fungus. RNAcentral's name for it is "partial contains small subunit ribosomal RNA, internal transcribed spacer 1, and 5.8S ribosomal RNA". The stretch from base 1 to 73 matches the Rfam family "Eukaryotic small subunit ribosomal RNA", at positions 1759 to 1831 of the family's 1831-position model. The record is from RNAcentral. Lineage: Eukaryota; Fungi.